This 594-nucleotide long non-coding RNA is filed under the name Mytilus galloprovincialis (Mediterranean mussel). The record is from RNAcentral. Lineage: Eukaryota; Metazoa; Mollusca; Bivalvia; Mytilida; Mytilidae.
UUUAUAAGUUUAUUAUUAGGCCCAAAUAAAAAAGUAUGUGUGGUUCCAGUUACAUCUGAAAAAAAGUUAGGGUAGGUAGGUAGGGAUUUUUUUUUUUUUUAUGUUUUUUUACAUUGAGUCUAUGGGAGCAACAUUCUGACUUUAACAGUGAUUAAUGAAAAAUGACAAUACAUAUAAAAAAAGAAGAUGUGGUAUGAUUGCCAAUGAGACAACUAUCCACAAAAGACCAAAAUGACACAGACAUUAACAACUAUAGGUCACCGUACGGCCUUCAACAAUGAGCAAAGCCUAUACCGCAUAGUCAGCUAUAAAAGGUCCCGAUAGGACAAUGUAAAACAAUUCAAACGAGAAAACUAACGGCCAUAUUUUUGUAAAAAAAUGAACGAAAAACAAAUAUGUAACAUAUAAACAAACGACAACCACUGAAUUACAGGCUCCUGACUUGGGACAGGCACAUACAUUAAUAAUGUGGCGGGGUUAAACAUGUUAGCGGGAUCCCAACCUUCCCCCUAACCUGGGACAGUGGUAUAACAGUACAACAUAAGAACGAACUAUAAAAAUCAGUUGAAAAAGGCUUAACUCAUCAGAUGGACA